This 700-nucleotide ribosomal RNA is filed under the name uncultured Bacilli bacterium. Its description in RNAcentral is "bacterial SSU rRNA". It matches the Rfam family "Bacterial small subunit ribosomal RNA", at positions 56 to 739 of the family's 1533-position model. Lineage: Bacteria; Bacillati; Bacillota; Bacilli. The record is from RNAcentral.
UGCAAGUCGAGCGGACAGAAGGGAGCUUGCUCCCGGAUGUUAGCGGCGGACGGGUGAGUAACACGUGGGUAACCUGCCUGUAAGACUGGGAUAACUCCGGGAAACCGGAGCUAAUACCGGAUAGUUCCUUGAACCGCAUGGUUCAAGGAUGAAAGACGGUUUCGGCUGUCACUUACAGAUGGACCCGCGGCGCAUUAGCUAGUUGGUGAGGUAACGGCUCACCAAGGCGACGAUGCGUAGCCGACCUGAGAGGGUGAUCGGCCACACUGGGACCGAGACACGGCCCAGACUCCUACGGGAGGCAGCAGUAGGGAAUCUUCCGCAAUGGACGAAAGUCUGACGGAGCAACGCCGCGUGAGUGAUGAAGGUUUUCGGAUCGUAAAGCUCUGUUGUUAGGGAAGAACAAGUGCAAGAGUAACUGCUUGCGCCUUGACGGUACCUAACCAGAAAGCCACGGCUAACUACGUGCCAGCAGCCGCGGUAAUACGUAGGUGGCAAGCGUUGUCCGGAAUUAUUGGGCGUAAAGGGCUCGCAGGCGGUUUCUUAAGUCUGAUGUGAAAGCCCCCGGCUCAACCGGGGAGGGUCAUUGGAAACUGGGAAACUUGAGUGCGGAAGAGGAGAGUGGAAUUCCACGUGUAGCGGUGAAAUGCGUAGAGAUGUGGAGGAACACCAGUGGCGAAGGCGACUCUCUGGUCUGUAA